UACGUAGGGACCGAGCGUUGUCCGGAUUCAUUGGGCGUAAAGAGCUCGUAGGCGGCUGUUCAAGUCGAACGUGAAAACUCGGAGCUCAACUCCGAGCCUGCGUUCGAUACUGGACGGCUAGAGUCUGGUAGGGGGAUCGUGGAAUUCCUGGUGUGAGCGGUGGGAAUGACGCAGAUAUCAGGAGGAACACCAGUGGCGAAGGCGGCUCACUGGCCCGGUACUGACGCUGAGGCGCGAAAGCGUGGGGAGCAAACAGG
Molecule: ribosomal RNA, 257 nt
Filed under: uncultured bacterium
Lineage: Bacteria
Description: partial 16S ribosomal RNA
Rfam family: Bacterial small subunit ribosomal RNA
Source: RNAcentral